RNAcentral lists this ribosomal RNA (492 nucleotides) under uncultured bacterium. RNAcentral describes it as "partial 16S ribosomal RNA". It matches the Rfam family "Bacterial small subunit ribosomal RNA", at positions 29 to 507 of the family's 1533-position model. The record is from RNAcentral.
AGUGAACGCUGGCGGUAGGCCUAACACAUGCAAGUCGAACGGCAGCACAGUAAGAGCUUGCUCUUACGGGUGGCGAGUGGCGGACGGGUGAGGAAUACAUCGGAAUCUACUUUUUCGUGGGGGAUAACGUAGGGAAACUUACGCUAAUACCGCAUACGACCUACGGGUGAAAGCAGGGGAUCUUCGGACCUUGCGCGAUUGAAUGAGCCGAUGUCGGAUUAGCUAGUUGGCGGGGUAAAGGCCCACCAAGGCGACGAUCCGUAGCCGGUCUGAGAGGAUGAUAAGCCACACGGGAACUGAGACACGGUCCAGACUCCUACGGGAGGCAGCAGUGGGGAAUAUUGGACAAUGGGCGCAAGCCUGAUCCAGCCAUACCGCGUGGGUGAAGAAGGCCUUCGGGUUGUAAAGCCCUUUUGUUGGGAAAGAAAAGCAGCAGGUUAAUACCCCGCUGUUCUGACGGUACCCAAAGAAUAAGCACCGGCUAACUUCGUG